This 253-nucleotide ribosomal RNA is filed under the name uncultured bacterium. RNAcentral describes it as "partial 16S ribosomal RNA". It matches the Rfam family "Bacterial small subunit ribosomal RNA", at positions 524 to 776 of the family's 1533-position model. The record is from RNAcentral.
UACGAAGGGGGCUAGCGUUGCUCGGAAUCACUGGGCGUAAAGCGCACGUAGGCGGAUUUGUUAGUCAGGGGUGAAAUCCCGGGGCUCAACCUCGGAACUGCCUUUGAUACUGCAAAUCUCGAGUCCGAUAGAGGUGGGUGGAAUUCCUAGUGUAGAGGUGAAAUUCGUAGAUAUUAGGAAGAACACCGAUGGCGAAGGCGGCCCACUGGAUCGGUACUGACGCUGAGGUGCGAAAGCGUGGGGAGCAAACAGG